CCCGCUACAACCACCAAAGCUUUCUCUGCACCCAAACAAAUACAAAUACAGCUCUCUCUAUCUCGCUCUCUCUCCUCCCUUCUCUCUUUCUUUCUUUUCUACGGUGAAGGACUGGCAUCUUUCACUUCCCUGCUCCCCCUACUCCCUGCUGCCCCACCUCCAGCGCCUUCUUCCCUCCAGCGCAGCCUGGGCGAGGCCUUGAGGCAUCUGCUUUCCACACGGACCGGCCUAGGGGUCCUAGGGCUCAGCCCCUCCUUCAGCCGCCCGAGGGGAAUCGAGGCUCCUCCCGCCCGACAGUCGCCGGGGCGGUGCACUGCGGCCAGCCCGGGCCCCGGGCGGCGGCGGAGAAACUUACCUGCGCGGGCCGCUCCCGGAGCUCCCGAGUCGCAGUCAGCCGCGCGGCCGCCGCCGCAUCUCCUGGCAGCAGGUCCCCCACCCACCCCGCCGCGCUGUCCCGCGCCGCACUUUUCCCAGGCUGGGAAGUUUGCUGAAAGCCAGGAGAUUUGGGCACAGCUCAGUGACACCUUCAAAGCCACUCGUAUGGAAAGGACCGCGGGCGGGACGCGGCCGCCGGGACUCAGGUUAAAUUUAGUCCGUAGCUGAGCUAAUCGCUCCUCCAACUCACCCAAUGGACCAGUGUUUGACCCAGGGGGCGAAACAACGGAUAAAGCAGUCUCCGCCAGAAUUUCAAAAACUCCCUGGAGGCCACUGAAUGUUUUAUGCAUCAGAAGGGAAGGCUGGGAUUCCGGUCACUGUGGCUAGGAUGGGGGAGGGCUCGGCCAGCAGGGU
This 789-nucleotide long non-coding RNA is filed under the name Rhinopithecus bieti (black snub-nosed monkey). Its description in RNAcentral is "lncRNA (ENSRBIG00000045132.1)". The record is from RNAcentral. Lineage: Eukaryota; Metazoa; Chordata; Mammalia; Primates; Cercopithecidae.